CCUACGGGGGGCAGCAGUGAGGAAUAUUGGUCAAUGGACGAGAGUCUGAACCAGCCAAGUAGCGUGAAGGAUGACUGCCCUAUGGGUUGUAAACUUCUUUUAUAUGGGAAUAAAAUGUUCCACGUGUGGGAUUUUGUAUGUACCAUAUGAAUAAGGAUCGGCUAACUCCGUGCCAGCAGCCGCGGUAAUACGGAGGAUCCGAGCGUUAUCCGGAUUUAUUGGGUUUAAAGGGAGCGUAGGUGGAUUGUUAAGUCAGUUGUGAAAGUUUGCGGCUUAACCGUAAAAUUGCAGUUGAAACUGGCAGUCUUGAGUACAGUAGAGGUGGGCGGAAUUCGGGGUGUAGCGGUGAAAUGCUUAGAUAUCACGAAGAACUCCGAUUGCGAAGGCAGCUUACUGGACUGCAACUGACACUGAGGCUCGAAAGUGUGGGUAUCAAACAGGAUUAGAUACCCGAGUAGUC
Molecule: ribosomal RNA, 460 nt
Filed under: uncultured bacterium
Lineage: Bacteria
Description: partial 16S ribosomal RNA
Rfam family: Bacterial small subunit ribosomal RNA
Source: RNAcentral